AGCAGCCGCGGUAAUUCCAGCUCCAAUAGCGUAUAUUAAAGUUGUUGCAGUUAAAAAGCUCGUAGUUGAAUUUCGGGAUCAAUUGAUUGGUCAUGCCUUGGUAUGAACUGGUCAUAUUGGUUCUCACCUUCUAAUGAACCAUAAUGUCAUUCACUUGAUGUUAUGGGGAAUUAGGACUGUUACCUUGAAAAAUUAGAGUGUUUAAAGCAGGCUUACGCUUGAAUACAUUAGCAUGGAAUAAUGAAAUAGGACAUCGCAUUCUAUUUUGUUGGUUUCUAGGAUCGAUGUAAUGAUUAAUAGGGAUAGUUGGGGGCAUUAGUAUUCAAUUGUCAGAGGUGAAAUUCUUGGAUUUAUUGAAGACUAACUACUGCGAAAGCAUUUGCCAAGGAUGUUUUCAUUAAUCAAGAACGAAAGUUAGGGGAUCGAAGACGAUCAGAUACCGUCGUAGUCUUAACCAUAAACUAUGCCGACUAGGGAUCGGAUGAUGUUAAUUUUAAAU
This 499-nucleotide small RNA is filed under the name uncultured Glomus. RNAcentral's name for it is "SSU rRNA". It matches the Rfam family "Eukaryotic small subunit ribosomal RNA", at positions 569 to 1074 of the family's 1831-position model. Lineage: Eukaryota; Fungi; Glomeromycota; Glomeromycetes; Glomerales; Glomeraceae. The record is from RNAcentral.